GACGAACGCUGGCGGCGUGCUUAACACAUGCAAGUCGAACGCUGAAGCUUGGUGCUUGCACUGGGUGGAUGAGUGGCGAACGGGCGAGUAAUACGUGAGUAACCUGCCCUUGACUCUGGGAUAAGCCUGGGAAACUGGGUCUAAUACUGGAUACGACAUGUCACCGCAUGGUGGUGUGUGGAAAGGGUUUUACUGGUUUUGGAUGGGCUCACGGCCUAUCAGCUUGUUGGUGGGGUAAUGGCUCACCAAGGCGACGACGGGUAGCCGGCCUGAGAGGGUGACCGGCCACACUGGGACUGAGACACGGCCCAGACUCCUACGGGAGGCAGCAGUGGGGAAUAUUGCACAAUGGGCGGAAGCCUGAUGCAGCGACGCCGCGUGAGGAAUGACGGCCUUCGGGUUGUAAACCUCUUUCAGCACGGAAGAAGCGAAAGUGACGGUACGUGCAGAAGAAGCGCCGGCUAACUACGUG
This 472-nucleotide ribosomal RNA is filed under the name uncultured bacterium. RNAcentral's name for it is "partial 16S ribosomal RNA". It matches the Rfam family "Bacterial small subunit ribosomal RNA", at positions 28 to 507 of the family's 1533-position model. The record is from RNAcentral.